GAAACUCCGGGGAGGGAAUCAACAGGGCUUGCCUCAGUAACGGCGAGUGAAGCGGCAAAAGCUCAAAUUUUAAAGCUGACAUCUUCGGUGUCCGCGUUGUAAUUUUGUGAGGCAUCUCCGGGUAGGGCGCCGGCCUAAGUUCCUUGGAACAGGACGUCACAGAGGGUGAGAAUCCCGUGCUUGGCUGGCUGUCCCCGUCCAUGUGAGGUGUCUUCGACGAGUCGAGUUGUUUGGGAAUGCAGCUCAAAAUGGGUGGUAAAUUUCAUCUAAAGCUAAAUAUUGGUGGGAGACCGAUAGCGCACAAGUAGAGUGAUCGAAAGAUGAAAAGCACUUUGAAAAUAGAGUUAAAAAGUACGUGAAAUUGUUGAAAGGGAAGCGCUUGAGAUCAGACUUCGGUAAGGGGUGAUCAGCCGUCCUUCUGGGCGGUGCACUUGCCCCCCUCCGGGCCAGCAUCGGUUGAGGCGGCGGGAUAAAGGUCCCGGGAAUGUGGCUCCUUCACGGGAGUGUUAUAGCCCGGGUGAAUGCCGCCAGCUUCGACCGAGGACCGCACCCGCAAGGGUUAGGAUGCUUGGCAUAAUGGUCUUCAGCGACCCGUCUUGAAACACGGACCAAGGAGUCUAACAUCUAUGCGAGUGUUUGGGUGUCAAACCCUUGCGCGAAAUGAAAGUGAACGGAGGUGGGAACCCGCAAGGGUGCACCAUCGACCGGUCCCGAAGUCUUCUGAAGGAUCUGAGUAGGAGCAUAGCUGUUGGGACCCGAAAGAUGGUGAACUAUGCCUGAAUAGGGUGAAGCCAGAGGAAACUCUGGUGGAGGCUCGCAGCGGUUCUGACGUGCAAAUCGAUCGUCAAAUUUGGGUAUAGGGGCGAAAGACUAAUCGUAUCCUUGCCAUUACAUU
This 895-nucleotide ribosomal RNA is filed under the name Morchella elata. Its description in RNAcentral is "eukaryotic LSU rRNA". It matches the Rfam family "Eukaryotic large subunit ribosomal RNA", at positions 42 to 953 of the family's 3401-position model. Lineage: Eukaryota; Fungi; Ascomycota; Pezizomycetes; Pezizales; Morchellaceae. The record is from RNAcentral.